Molecule: non-coding RNA, 287 nt
Filed under: Streptomyces afghaniensis 772
Lineage: Bacteria; Bacillati; Actinomycetota; Actinomycetes; Kitasatosporales; Streptomycetaceae
Description: Bacterial small subunit ribosomal RNA
Rfam family: Bacterial small subunit ribosomal RNA
Source: Rfam by way of RNAcentral
GGGCUGCACACGUGCGUACAAUGGCCGGUACAAUGAGCUGCGAUACCGCGAGGUGGAGCGAAUCUCAAAAAGCCGGUCUCAGUUCGGAUUGGGGUCUGCAGCUGACCCCAUGAAGUCGGAGUCGCUGUAAUCGCAGAUCAGCAUUGCUGCGGUGAAUACGUUCCCGGGCCUUGUACACACCGCCCGUCACGUCACGAAAGUCGGUAACACCCGAAGCCGGUGGCCAACCCCCUUGUGGGGAGGGAGCUGUCGAAGGUGGGACUGGCGAUUGGGACGAAGUCGUAACA